AUAAUUAUGUUUUGCUUACAAUUCUCUCAAAUACAAGAUAGUUGAUUGCAAGUUUAUUGCGUGGAUUGAUUAUUCAUAUUUAUUUAAAUCACUUUUUUAAUAUACAACAUAAUUUCUAGCCAUUGCUUUCUGUCUAUUUAUUUUCAAUGACUAUGUAUCACCUUUAUUUUAAAAUUACGUGUAAUUUCUUUAAGAAAUACAUACUUUGCUCUAAUAUAAGUGCUCCAUGCGGACACAGAUGUUUAAGCCUUGCUGUGCAAGCUCAUGUUUCGAAAACUUCGAUCGCGCUUACCUCAUGAGCGAAUUACUAGACAUAGACUCCAGGUGCACUUAGGAUUUGCGAUGAGUUUCCAUGCAUUGCAGACAUUGAAAUGUCUGUGAUAUGUCUGAAGAAUCUUUUUAAGUAAAACUAGUACUUAUUUAAGUCAAUAAUUUAAUUUGUUAAACAGCAAAAAAUAUUUAAAAUUAAGAUAUACCUAGAAAUUUUAAGAUUAUUCAAAGAUGUAAACAUGAAAAAUAAAAAAUGUUGAAAAGAGCGGAACUACA
Drosophila navojoa is the source of this 546-nucleotide long non-coding RNA. Lineage: Eukaryota; Metazoa; Arthropoda; Insecta; Diptera; Drosophilidae. The record is from RefSeq and is a predicted model, not a curated record.